AACGCGAAGAACCUUACCUGGGCUCGAAGUGCUACUGACCAGCGGCAGAAACGUCGCCUUCUCGCAAGAGACAGUAGUAGAGGUGCUGCAUGGCUGUCGUCAGCUCGUGCCGUGAGAUGUUGGGUUAAGUCCCGCAACGAGCGCAACCCUUAUCGUUAGUUGCCAGCGGGUUAUGCCGGGCACUCUAGCGAAACCGCCCGGAUAACGGGGAGGAAGGUGGGGAUGACGUCAAGUCCUCAUGGCCUUUAUGUCCAGGGCUACACACGUGCUACAAUGGCCGGUACAAACCGUCGCAAACCCGCGAGGGGGAGCUAAUCGGAAAAAGCCGGCCUCAGUUCGGAUUGGAGUCUGCAACCCGACUCCAUGAAGCUGGAAUCGCUAGUAAUCGCAGAUCAGCACGCUGCGGUGAAUACGUUCCCGGGCCUUGUACACACCGGCUAC
RNAcentral lists this ribosomal RNA (441 nucleotides) under uncultured bacterium. RNAcentral describes it as "bacterial SSU rRNA". It matches the Rfam family "Bacterial small subunit ribosomal RNA", at positions 958 to 1397 of the family's 1533-position model. The record is from RNAcentral.